UAAUUCAAGAUGAGAUUGGAGUGGGGACAGAGCCAAACUAUAUCACAAGGCAUAGUUGAAGAGAAAUGUGAUUGGCAGAAUAAUGGUCCCGUUCUAAUCCUGGAAUUUGUGAAUAUGUUACAGUACAUGACAAAGGGGAAUUAAGGCAGUAGAUGGAAUUAAGGUUGCUAAUCAGCUGACUUUGAAAUAGGGAGAUCAUCCUGGAUUAUCUGGGUAGACCCAGUGUAAUCACAAGGGUGCUAAAAAGUAAAACAGGGAGGCAGACAAGAUCAGAGUGAGGCAGUAGAAGAAGGGUUCAUUCUGCUGCUACGGCUUUGAAGAUGGAGGAGGAAGACCAUGAACCAAAGAAUGCAAGAAACCUCUAGAAGCUACACAGGCAGCAAUAGAAAGUUAACAUGGGGGCAGGGUUGGGGGAAGGAGUCCGAGAGCCUGAGGCCUGAGAACAAGACAGGAAGACAUUGCUGGACAUUUAUUUUAUGACGUGCCUCAUCAGCAGAACAAAGAAGGGCAUGGACUUAUGUUUAAAAACUGUCCAGAAGUGACCAAAGAAAUUCACCAGUGAUGCAGAUGAGCUCCUAAUAAUCAUGCCAUCGGAGCAGGCUGUGAUAGCCUGGAAAUCCUGCCUGAAACCAAACUGCAACAUUUCCAACUAAGAAAUCAAGCGGUGAUAAACCUCAGUAUCUGAAAGGGUUAAAUAUUGUGCCCACGUGACUACUGUUCUUUCUUUCUGUGAAUUAAUGUGUGUGCCAGAAAAUAUUUGUGAAUAAAAAACAAUUACAUAA
This is a long non-coding RNA of Homo sapiens (human), 782 nucleotides long. RefSeq lists it as uncharacterized. The transcript is spliced from 2 exons. The record is from RefSeq and is a predicted model, not a curated record. Lineage: Eukaryota; Metazoa; Chordata; Mammalia; Primates; Hominidae.